GACGAACGCUGGCGGCGUGCCUAAUACAUGCAAGUCGAGCGGACGGAUGGGAGCUUGCUCCCAGACCGUCAGCGGCGGACGGGUGAGUAACACGUGGGCAACCUGCCUGUAAGACUGGGAUAACUCCGGGAAACCGGGGCUAAUACCGGAUAACUCUUUCCCUCACAUGAGGGAAAGCUGAAAGAUGGCAUCUCGCUAUCACUUACAGAUGGGCCCGCGGCGCAUUAGCUAGUUGGUAAGGUAACGGCUCACCAAGGCGACGAUGCGUAGCCGACCUGAGAGGGUGAUCGGCCACACUAGGACUGAGACACGGCCCAGACUCCUACGGGAGGCAGCAGUAGGGAAUCUUCCGCAAUGGACGAGAGUCUGACAGAGCAGCGCCGCGUGAGUGAUGAAGGUUUUCGGAUCGUAAAGCUCUGUUGUCAGGGAAGAACAAGUACCGGAGUAACUGCCGGUACCUUGACGGUACCUGACCAGAAAGCCACGGCUAACUACGUG
RNAcentral lists this ribosomal RNA (498 nucleotides) under uncultured bacterium. Its description in RNAcentral is "partial 16S ribosomal RNA". It matches the Rfam family "Bacterial small subunit ribosomal RNA", at positions 28 to 507 of the family's 1533-position model. The record is from RNAcentral.